AUACGGAGGGUGCAAGCGUUAAUCGGAAUUACUGGGCGUAAAGCGUGCGUAGGCGGUUUAUUAAGUCAGAUGUGAAAGCCCCGGGCUUAACCUGGGAACUGCAUUUGAAACUAGUAGACUAGAGUAUGGUAGAGGGGGGUAGAAUUCCUAGUGUAGCGGUGAAAUGCGUAGAUAUUAGGAGGAAUACCAGUGGCGAAGGCGGCCCCCUGGACCAAUACUGACGCUGAGGUACGAAAGCGUGGGGAGCGAACAGGAUUAGAAACCCCAGUAGUCC
This 274-nucleotide ribosomal RNA is filed under the name uncultured bacterium. RNAcentral's name for it is "partial 16S ribosomal RNA". It matches the Rfam family "Bacterial small subunit ribosomal RNA", at positions 523 to 796 of the family's 1533-position model. The record is from RNAcentral.